CCUGGUGAAACAUCGCUACCAUCGGGAAACGCCGUCGUUUACAAUCUCCGCGCUGCUGCAACUAACGCCACUGUUUUUGUCUCAUUCACCUUCUCUAUAGUAAAUAUCUCCUUGGCAUCAUCACUUCCUUUCUUCAAAACCCAAAAGGUCCUCUCUCUCCUUUCACUGUUACAGAAGCACAUAUACUCGGAUAUUAAACCGUCGCCGAUCGAAAGUCUCUCUUCCCACUGGAAGCGUUAAAUUUCUCUUCCCACUGGAAACGUUUGCUGCCUCUUCAGCUCACUGACUUCAAGCAAACCGAGUCACCGAUCUACAAUCCGUGCCUUAGUUUCUUAUUAUUGCCAUCUGUGUUGACUUGUGGUUGAGCAGGAAAUAGUCGUUGCGUUGAAGUUAUCUAAUGUGAUCACUGAGUUUGGUAGAGGGGCAAAUCCGUGGAAAAUGGAUCGGUCGACGAUAACCGUGGGACCCGGUAUGGAUUUGCCGAUCUUGCACGACAGUGACCGGUACGAUUUCGUCCGGGAUAUUGGGUCAGGGAACUUCGGGGUCGCCAGGUUGAUGAGAGAUAAGGUCACCAAGGAGCUUGUUGCCGUAAAGUAUAUCGAGAGAGGUGACAAGAUUGAUGAAAAUGUUCAAAGAGAAAUUAUUAAUCACAGGUCGCUCAGGCAUCCCAACAUUGUGAAGUUUAAAGAGGUCAUUUUAACUCCCACCCAUCUGGCCAUUGUGAUGGAAUAUGCCUCUGGAGGAGAACUUUUUGAGAAAAUAUGCAAUGCUGGACGUUUCAGCGAGGAUGAGGCAAGGUUCUUUUUCCAACAACUCAUAUCAGGGGUUAGCUAUUGCCAUGCCAUGCAAGUAUGUCACCGUGAUUUGAAGUUGGAGAACACUUUACUGGAUGGGAGCGAGGCUCCUCGCUUGAAGAUUUGUGAUUUUGGGUACUCCAAGUCUUCAGUGCUUCAUUCACAGCCAAAAUCAACAGUAGGAACUCCUGCGUACAUUGCACCAGAGGUGUUGUUGAGGCAAGAAUAUGAUGGCAAGAUUGCAGAUGUGUGGUCAUGUGGGGUAACGUUGUAUGUGAUGCUGGUUGGAGCAUAUCCCUUUGAGGAUCCUGAUGAGCCAAGGGACUUCAGGAAGACAAUACAGAGAAUUCUUAAUGUCCAGUAUUCCAUCCCAGACAUUGUUCAGAUGUCUCCUGAGUGUCGUGACCUGAUUUCUCGAAUUUUUGUUUUUGAUCCUGCAGCUAGGAUUACCAUUCCACAAAUCAAGAACCAUGAGUGGUUUCUGAAGAAUCUGCCGAUGGACCUAAUGGAUGAGAAGACAAUAGGCAACCAGUUUGAGGAGCCUGAGCAACCCAUGCAGAGCAUUGAUACCAUAAUGCAAAUAAUUUCUGAGGCCACCAUACCAGCUGCUGGGGCCCAUGACCUUAAUCGGUAUAUGGCAGACAACCUUGACAUGGAUGAUGACAUGCUGGACUUUGAUUCUGAAUCUGAGCUUGAUGUGGAUAGUAGCGGGGAGAUAGUUUAUGCACUGUAAUCACGGCAUUUCUUUACAAGAGGUGGUGGUUCUUCAGGCUUGUGGACGUAUCAAGAUCUAGGCAAAAAAAUGCAACCUAGAAUGUGCUAGUUUUUCUCCCUGGCUUAGUUUUGCACUAGUUAGAAGAGUCUCCUGUCUCUCUCAAUGUGCAAGUGCUUGUGAGCACUUGUGUCUCUUGAAAAUGCAUCUGGAUUUUGUGGACUGACCACAACCAAUAGAAGAACAGAGGAAAAGGGAGAAGAAAUAGAAUAAAUGGGAGGAGGAGAAGAAAGAGAAGGGAAGAAACAGAGAGAUCGAGAGAUGGUGUAUUUCUGUAUUAAGGAGAAGCCAAAGGAAGGAAUUGAAACCCAAAACAGAGAGAUAGAGAACUUAGGGAGAAGAUAGAAUUUCUGUAUUAUUUGAUUGAUAAGCCAACUACAAUUCAAUUCUCUAUUUAUGUUAGUACAUGAAUAACAAUCCUAACACUGUAUUUUGUUGAAGUAUCAUAGUCUGUGCUUUUGCUGUUA
RNA transcript from Hevea brasiliensis (rubber tree), 2033 nucleotides. It is a transcript of the gene named serine/threonine-protein kinase SRK2I, with no coding region annotated. The record is from RefSeq and is a predicted model, not a curated record. The transcript is spliced from 10 exons. NCBI's taxonomy places the organism in Eukaryota, Viridiplantae, Streptophyta, Magnoliopsida, Malpighiales, Euphorbiaceae.